RNAcentral lists this ribosomal RNA (253 nucleotides) under uncultured bacterium. RNAcentral describes it as "partial 16S ribosomal RNA". It matches the Rfam family "Bacterial small subunit ribosomal RNA", at positions 524 to 776 of the family's 1533-position model. The record is from RNAcentral.
UACGAACCGUGCGAACGUUGUUCGGAAUCACUGGGCUUAAAGGGCGCGUAGGCGGGCUAUCAAGUCCGGGGUGAAAUCCUCCAGCUUAACUGGAGAACGGCCUCGGAUACUGAUGGUCUCGAGGAGGAUAGGGGCACACGGAACUGUGGGUGGAGCGGUGAAAUGCGUUGAUAUCCAUAGGAACUCCGGUGGCGAAAGCGGUGUGCUGGAUCCUUUCUGACGCUGAGGCGCGAAAGCCAGGGGAGCAAACAGG